GGGGGAUUAGCUCAGUUGGCUAGAGCGCCUGCCUUGCACGCAGGAGGUCAAGGGUUCGACUCCCUUAUUCUCCA
RNAcentral lists this transfer RNA (74 nucleotides) under Bacteroidota bacterium. RNAcentral describes it as "tRNA-Ala". It matches the Rfam family "tRNA". From Rfam's summary of the family: Transfer RNA (tRNA) molecules are approximately 80 nucleotides in length. Their secondary structure includes four short double-helical elements and three loops (D, anti-codon, and T loops). Lineage: Bacteria; Pseudomonadati; Bacteroidota. RNAcentral also lists the same sequence under 7 other names. The record is from RNAcentral.